AAGGCCAGGCGGCGGCCCUACACAUGCAAGUCGAGCGGUAGAGAGAAGCUUGCUUCUCUUGAGAGCGGCGGACGGGUGAGUAAUGCCUAGGAAUCUGCCUGGUAGUGGGGGAUAACGUUCGGAAACGGACGCUAAUACCGCAUACGUCCUACGGGAGAAAGCAGGGGACCUUCGGGCCUUGCGCUAUCAGAUGAGCCUAGGUCGGAUUAGCUAGUUGGUGAGGUAAUGGCUCACCAAGGCGACGAUCCGUAACUGGUCUGAGAGGAUGAUCAGUCACACUGGAACUGAGACACGGUCCAGACUCCUACGGGAGGCAGCAGUGGGGAAUAUUGGACAAUGGGCGAAAGCCUGAUCCAGCCAUGCCGCGUGUGUGAAGAAGGUCUUCGGAUUGUAAAGCACUUUAAGUUGGGAGGAAGGGUUGUAGAUUAAUACUCUGCAAUUUUGACGUUACCGACAGAAUAAGCACCGGCUAACUCUGUGCCAGCAGCCGCGGUAAUACAGAGGGUGCAAGCGUUAAUCGGAAUUACUGGGCGUAAAGCGCGCGUAGGUGGUUUGUUAAGUUGGAUGUGAAAUCCCCGGGCUCAACCUGGGAACUGCAUUCAAAACUGACUGACUAGAGUAUGGUAGAGGGUGGUGGAAUUUCCUGUGUAGCGGUGAAAUGCGUAGAUAUAGGAAGGAACACCAGUGGCGAAGGCGACCACCUGGACUAAUACUGACACUGAGGUGCGAAAGCGUGGGGAGCAAACAGGAUUAGAUACCCUGGUAGUCCACGCCGUAAACGAUGUCAACUAGCCGUUGGAAGCCUUGAGCUUUAGUGGCGCAGCUAACGCAUUAAGUUGACCGCCUGGGGAGUACGGCCGCAAGGUUAAAACUCAAAUGAAUUGACGGGGCCCGCACAAGCGGUGGAGCAUGUGGUUUAAUUCGAAGCACGCGAAGAACCUUACCAGCCUUGACAUCCAAUGAACUUUCUAGAGAUAGAUUGGUGCUUCGGAACAUUGAGACAGUGCUGCAUGCUGUCGUCAGCUCGUGUCGUGGAGAUGUUGG
RNAcentral lists this ribosomal RNA (1044 nucleotides) under bacterium 3-3. RNAcentral's name for it is "bacterial SSU rRNA". It matches the Rfam family "Bacterial small subunit ribosomal RNA", at positions 32 to 1078 of the family's 1533-position model. The record is from RNAcentral.